RNAcentral lists this ribosomal RNA (463 nucleotides) under uncultured bacterium. Its description in RNAcentral is "partial 16S ribosomal RNA". It matches the Rfam family "Bacterial small subunit ribosomal RNA", at positions 28 to 507 of the family's 1533-position model. The record is from RNAcentral.
GACGAACGCUGGCGGCGUGCUUAACACAUGCAAGUCGAACGGAAAGGCCUUUUCGGAGGUACUCGAGUGGCGAACGGGUGAGUAACACGUGGGUGAUCUGCCCUGCACUCUGGGAUAAGCCUGGGAAACUGGGUCUAAUACCGGAUAGGACCGCACUUUAGUGUGUGUGGUGGAAAGUUUUUUCGGUGUAGGAUGAGCCCGCGGCCUAUCAGCUUGUUGGUGGGGUAAUGGCCUACCAAGGCGGCGACGGGUAGCCGGACUGAGAGGUUGGUCGGCCACACUGGGACUGAGAGACGGCCCAGACUCCUACGGGAGGCAGCAGUGGGGAAUAUUGCACAAUGGGCGCAAGCCUGAUGCAGCGACGCCGCGUGGGGGAUGACGGACUUCGGGUUGGAAACUCCUUUCGCCAGGGACGAAGCGUUUUGUGACGGUACCUGGAAAAGAAGCACCGGCUAACUACGUG